GAGGGUAUAGCUCAGUGAUAGAGUGUGUGCUUAGCGUGCGCAGGGUCCUGGGUUCAAUCCUUGGUACCGCCA
RNAcentral lists this transfer RNA (72 nucleotides) under Camelus bactrianus (Bactrian camel). It matches the Rfam family "tRNA". Rfam says of the family: Transfer RNA (tRNA) molecules are approximately 80 nucleotides in length. Their secondary structure includes four short double-helical elements and three loops (D, anti-codon, and T loops). The record is from Rfam by way of RNAcentral. RNAcentral also lists the same sequence under 1 other name. Lineage: Eukaryota; Metazoa; Chordata; Mammalia; Artiodactyla; Camelidae.